This 211-nucleotide non-coding RNA is filed under the name Methylobacterium brachiatum. Lineage: Bacteria; Pseudomonadati; Pseudomonadota; Alphaproteobacteria; Hyphomicrobiales; Methylobacteriaceae. The record is from RNAcentral.
CGAGUAUCGAUCGGCCAAGGUUCCCGCGGGCUUCGGUCCGUAGGCGAAGAUGGGAAUUCAGUGCGCCGGCAACGGCAAAGCUGAAGCUGCCCCCGCAACUGUAAGCGGCGAGUUCCUGCUGCUCCUCGGUCACUGAUGCCUCGCAUCGGGAAGGCCAGGCAGGGAUCGUGACCCGCGAGCCAGGAGACCUGCCUCGGCGCGACGACAACCC